CCCCACUUUUCUUCUCUCUCUCCCUCCGUGUCACGCUUCCCUCGCCUGAGUCGCCCCGCCUCCGAUCGAAUCGAACCGGGUGGGCUUGCUUCGCCUCGUUUCGUCUCGUCUCGGCUCUCAGCCUCUCAGGAAACCGCAACGAGAUUCCUCGCGCGCGCGGCUCAGCAGAUCGCGCGAGCGCGAGAGGGAGGAGCAUGGGAUCGGAGGGACGGGGCUGGAACGGCGCUGGCGACGGCGCCAGGGGCGGGGAGGAGAAACCGACCACCACCGCGGCGGUGGCCGCAGGGGCGCCGGCGGACGUGCCCACGUCGGCGGCCUCCGUCGACAUCUCGCUGCCGCUCCCGGAGAUGACGCCUCACAUCAUAGGUCUCUGCAAGGGAUCGGUCAAAGGGUGGUCAUCGCUGGACAGCUCGUGCUUCUCCAUCGAGACGGUGUCUGGCGGCAUCACGAAUCUAUUGCUGAAGGUAUCUGUAAAAGAAGAAACUGGAAAUGAGUUUUCUGUUACUGUUCGUUUGUAUGGGCCAAAUACAGACUUGGUGAUUGAUCGGAAAAGGGAAUUACAGGCGAUACCAUAUCUCUCAGCUGCAGGGUUUGGGGCUCGUCUACUUGGAAUUUUUGAGAAUGGAGUAGUUCAGUCAUUCAUCCAUGCUCGAACACUGUCACCUGCAGACAUGAGAGAACCUAGAAUAGCAGCUGAGAUUGCCAAGGAGCUCCACAGAUUCCAUCAAGUAGACAUUCCAGGGUCUAAAGAACCACAACUGUGGAAUGAUAUAUUCAAGUUUUUGAAAAAAGCUUCAGCACUGAAGUUUGAGGAUAAUGAGAAGCGGAAGAGAUAUGAAACAAUCUCAUUUAGAGAAAUACAAGAUGAAGUUAAAGAACUUAAGGAUCUUUCCGACCUUCUGCGUGCACCUGUGGUUUUUGCACACAAUGACUUGCUUUCAGGAAAUUUGAUGCUCAAUGAUUCGGAAGGGAAGCUAUAUUUUAUUGAUUUUGAGUAUGGGUCAUACAGCUACCGCGGUUAUGACAUUGCAAAUCAUUUCAACGAGUACGCAGGAUUUGAUUGUGACUAUAACAUGUACCCAGAUAAAGAUGCUCAGUAUCACUUUUUCAGGAAUUAUAUGCAACCUGACAGACCCAGUGAGGUAUGUGAAACAAAACCAACUGAAAUCUCUUCGUACUACUCGAGUUCUUUCCUGAGUAAACAAAGCUUUUUGUUAGUGCUGCUCUUGUAACACAUGUUAGAUGCUACAUGUAGUUUUCCUUUGCUUGUUUUGGAUAAGGUUAGUAAUAACUCCGUCAUAUGUGCCAGAUGUUGACAUUUAGAGUGCUCCUAAGCUUAACAUGAAUUGCUUAGCAUUUGUUUCUUCUGGGUAACACCGGAUGUCUGGCAUUCAUAGAAGGCUGAAAGAUGUUACAGGAGUUUUUUUUUUUGGCAAAAGGGUGUAAUAUAACACUAGGUUCUUUUCUGUUCUGAUGUAACUACGCUGGAAGCAUAUUCACAGUUCUCUUUCAUUUUUCAACUGAAAGGUGCAGGCACAAGAUCUGGAAGCACUUUAUGUGGAAACAAACACUUUCAGGUUAGCAUCGCACAUUUACUGGGCAUUAUGGGCCCUCAUACAGGCAAAGGUAUCCCCAAUCGAUUUUGACUAUCUUGGGUACUUCUUCCAACGGUAUGGUGAGUACAAGAAACAGAGGGAGUCCUGCUUCUCCUUGGCACAAAGCUUCCUCUCUGAGCUGAGAAAUGGCUAGAGCCUGA
Molecule: RNA transcript, 1756 nt
Organism: Panicum virgatum (switchgrass)
Lineage: Eukaryota; Viridiplantae; Streptophyta; Magnoliopsida; Poales; Poaceae
Gene name: probable ethanolamine kinase
Exons: 11
Source: RefSeq, a predicted model, not a curated record